UCGGGCCGCGCGGCAGGUGUGGGCGCGCGGAGGUGGCACAGCCCGCGGCGCUUUCUUUCGACCUGCGCACAACGCGGGACGCAGAGGCGCGCGCGGGGUGCGUGGAGGCCGCAGGUUGGAUUCCCUACCAGUAAAAUGAGGUAAUGAUGUGAAAUUGGUCACGUUGUUGAAGAGUUGAAAUGAGAGAUUGGGCAUCAGUAUCCAGCUUAGGUUCCGGCCUGGUGGAAGGAGAGAUUGUGGAAAAGCAUAACAACGAAGAGGGAUGGUAUUGCUCCUGUAACUCGGAACUGGAGAGGAGGCAAGAUGCUGGCAUAGCUGUUGAACUGAGAACCUGCUAUGCCAACAUAUUGCCAUCUUUCCUGUCUGACAGCAGCUUGGCUACCUCCGUCCUGUUCCUCCUUGUCUUGCUACAAGCCAUCCAUGAUAUGUAGGGCCCUGUGACUUGGUCUGUCUCGCCCUGACUUCUCUCCAGUCCUAUACCGAAUCACUCGCUCUGUUCUAGCCACACUGGCCUUUUGGGGAUGUUCUUGGCUGCACCAGGAAUAUUCCCGCCUCUACUGCCCUGUCUUAUCUUUUGGGCAUCAGUGGAGAACUCUUUCACCAUGGCACUGUCUAUAAAACCUUACAUGUGCCCAGCCACCGUUCACCUCAUGACCCUGCUCUGACUUGUCAGAAUCAUUGGGCACUACCUGUCCAUGUUCAUUUGCUUAGUUGCUGCUUGAUUUACUGUACCAGGUUGUAAGUCCUUUAAGGGACACCCGUCUUCAUUUCUGUUCACCAUACCCCUAAACCCUGACGUUUGCAAGUCCUCAAGUCAUGUCUUUGCGACUCUACCCUGGACUUAUUGUGCAACAGAAGUGUCAAAUAAUGAGAUUUUAAUCAUGCCAUGAAUGGCUGUGAUGAAACACUGGUUUAUAAGUAACAAAGAAUAAACAAAUGCUACUGAUUUCUAAGCCUGCAAACCCAACAUCUUAAAGGAGCCACA
This 985-nucleotide long non-coding RNA is filed under the name Mus musculus (house mouse). RNAcentral's name for it is "shlncRNA-EC16". The stretch from base 286 to 365 matches the Rfam family "mir-31 microRNA precursor family". The record is from RNAcentral. Lineage: Eukaryota; Metazoa; Chordata; Mammalia; Rodentia; Muridae.